Molecule: ribosomal RNA, 515 nt
Filed under: Chlamydomonas sp. ChB11
Lineage: Eukaryota; Viridiplantae; Chlorophyta; Chlorophyceae; Chlamydomonadales; Chlamydomonadaceae
Description: SSU rRNA
Rfam family: Eukaryotic small subunit ribosomal RNA
Source: RNAcentral
AGCUGCAGUUAAAAGCUCGUAGUUGGAUUUCGGGUGGGUUCCAGCGGUCCGCCUAUGGUGAGUACUGCUGCGGCCUUCCUUACUGCCGGGGACCUGCUUCUGGGCUUCAUUGUCCGGGACACGGAUUCGGCAUGGAUACUUUGAGUAAAUUGGAGUGUUCAAAGCAGGCUUACGCUCUGAACAUUUUAGCAUGGAAUAACAUGAUAGGACUCUGGCCUAUUCUGUUGGCCUGUAGGAGUGGAGUAAUGAUUAAGAGGGACAGUCGGGGGCAUUCGUAUUUCAUUGUCAGAGGUGAAAUUCUUGGAUUUAUGAAAGACGAACUACUGCGAAAGCAUUUGCCAAGGAUGUUUUCAUUAAUCAAGAACGAAAGUUGGGGGCUCGAAGACGAUUAGAUACCGUCGUAGUCUCAACCAUAAACGAUGCCGACUAGGGAUUGGAGGACGUUUUUGCAUGACUCCCUCAGCACCUUGAGAGAAAUCAAAGUUUUUGGGUUCCGGGGGGAGUAUGGUCAACAA